Molecule: ribosomal RNA, 325 nt
Filed under: uncultured eukaryote
Lineage: Eukaryota
Description: SSU rRNA
Rfam family: Eukaryotic small subunit ribosomal RNA
Source: RNAcentral
AGCUCCAAUAGCGUAUAUUAAAGUUGUUGCAGUUAAAACGCUCGUAGUCGGAUUUCGGGGCGGGCUGUAAGGUCUGCCGAUGGGUAUGCACUUUACGGCGCGUCCUUCCUUCCGGAGACCACACCUACUCUUAACUGAGCGGGCGCGGGAGACGGAACGUUUACUUUGAAAAAUCAGAGUGUUUCAAGCAGGCAUCUCGCUCUUGCAUGGAUUAGCAUGGGAUAAUGAAAUGGACUUUGGUGCUAUUUUGUUGGUUUCGAACACCGAAGUAAUGAUUAACAGGGACAGUCAGGGGCACUCGUAUUCCGUCGAGAGAGGUGAAAUU